UACGUAGGGGGCCAGCGUUGUCCGGAAUCAUUGGGCGUAAAGCGCGCGUAGGCGGUCAGGUAAGUCCGGUGUGAAAGUCAAAGGCUCAACCUUUGAAUGCCGCUGGAUACUGCUUGACUUGAGUCCGGAAGGGGCGAGUGGAAUUCCUGGUGUAGCGGUGAAAUGCGCAGAUAUCAGGAGGAACACCAAUGGCGAAGGCGGCUCUCUGGGACGGUACUGACGCUGAGACGCGAAAGCGUGGGGAGCGAACAGG
This 253-nucleotide ribosomal RNA is filed under the name uncultured bacterium. RNAcentral describes it as "partial 16S ribosomal RNA". It matches the Rfam family "Bacterial small subunit ribosomal RNA", at positions 524 to 776 of the family's 1533-position model. The record is from RNAcentral.